UACGUAGGGACCAAGCGUUGUCCGGAAUCAUUGGGCGUAAAGAGCGUGUAGGCGGCCAGGUAGGUCUGGUGUGAAAACUCGAGGCUUAACCUCGAGAUGUCAUCGGAAACCAUUUGGCUAGAGUCCGGAAGAGGAGAGUGGAAUUCCUGGUGUAGCGGCGAAAUGCGCAGAUAUCAGGAAGAACACCAAUGGCGAAAGCAGCUCUCUGGGACGGUACUGACGCUGAGACGCGAAAGCGUGGGGAGCGAACAGG
This 253-nucleotide ribosomal RNA is filed under the name uncultured bacterium. RNAcentral's name for it is "partial 16S ribosomal RNA". It matches the Rfam family "Bacterial small subunit ribosomal RNA", at positions 524 to 776 of the family's 1533-position model. The record is from RNAcentral.